GACGGAGGGUGCAAGCGUUGUUCGGAAUCACUGGGCGUAAAGCGCGUGUAGGCGGUCCGAAAAGUCGAGUGUGAAAUCCCGAGGCUCAACCUCGGAAGUGCAUUCGAAACUCUCGGGCUUGAGUACUGGAGAGGGAAGCGGAAUUCCUGGUGUAGAGGUGAAAUUCGUAGAUAUCAGGAGGAACACCGGUGGCGAAGGCGGCUUCCUGGACAGAUACUGACGCUGAGACGCGAAAGCGUGGGGAG
This 245-nucleotide ribosomal RNA is filed under the name uncultured bacterium. Its description in RNAcentral is "partial 16S ribosomal RNA". It matches the Rfam family "Bacterial small subunit ribosomal RNA", at positions 524 to 768 of the family's 1533-position model. The record is from RNAcentral.